Molecule: long non-coding RNA, 938 nt
Filed under: Homo sapiens (human)
Lineage: Eukaryota; Metazoa; Chordata; Mammalia; Primates; Hominidae
Description: HSALNT0211786
Source: RNAcentral
UCAAACGCCUGACCUCAAGUGAUCCACCAUCUCAGCCUCCUCCCAAAGUGCUAGGAUUACCGGGUGUGAGCCAUCAGGCCCAGCCUCAAAAUCUGGGUUUCCUAAAACAACAUAAAUUUAUUCUGUCACUGUUCUGGAGGUUAGAAGUCCAAAAUCAAGGUGUUGGCAGGGCCCUGCUCUCUUUUUCGGCUCUAAGGGAGAACACUUCCUUGCCUCUUCUAAUGUCUGCAUUUGUCAGCCAUCCUUGGUGCUCCCGGCUUGCAGAUGGGAUACUCCAGUCACUGGGUGCCGCUUCCCUGUGUCAUAUUGUCUUCCCUCUGUGUCCAAAUUUCCCCUUUGAAUAAGGACACCAGUCGUAGUGGAAUAGGGCCCACCCUAAGGACCUCAUUUUAACUUGAUUAUCUCUAUAAAGACCCUGUUUCCAGUAAGGUCACAUUUCUGAGGUACAGGGGUUUGGGGCUUCAACAUAUCUGGUUUAAGGGUGGUGCACAGUUCCACCUGACACUACCUCAGGGCUCAUAUGGUCCCUUACCCUAUUAUAAAGACUUCCUCCUGGUGUAGAUCCCAAACCUAUCUCUGCAUUUUGUUUCUCUCUCUAGGGAAUCACUGCUGAGAAGUAGUCCCACAGCUUUCUACCUCACCCAAAUGCACGUGGGGUGUGGUUGAUUGCUGGGCCUUGCUUCACAGCUGUGAGGUUCCAGCAAUCACCACAUUGUCCUUGAAUAGGGCUGCUCUGAGCAUCAGAAGGUUAGCACUCUCUUCUGUGUGCAGAGAAGCACGUAGGGGAGACAGAGGAGCCACCACUGGAGCUCAUACCAAAUGCGUUCGUAGUUGGAGGGGGACUAAGUCCCCUCUGCUGAUCCAGGCAGAAGGGCCACCUGCCUUCAGACGCUGACCGGCUUCCCUAGUGCUUGAUGUUGGCACCCUCCUCAAGCUCC